CGAAUUUACAAGAGAAAGGAAGAAUGAGCUUAAAAGAUGGAAAGAAGGGGAUGGGGGACGAACGAGAGGAUAGCGGUCGGGAGUGGCGAGAGACGCGGAGUGUCGGCAAGGGGAUGGUGGAAGUGCGCGCGGGAAGGCUCCGUGAAGGAAAAGGGGGUGGUGAGGGGUACACGGCCGGUGGGUCGUUAUUUUUGUGCCUGCUUCGUCUUUAAUUUCUCCCCACCUUUUGCGCGCCGCGGCGCUGACGCCGCGCCGCUCUACUCCGCGCCACGCCGCGCCGCUCCGCGCCACACCGCGCCGCGCCACGCCGCGCCGCGACGCCGGGCAGAGGAGCCGUGGCGCGCUGGUUGGUGUGCGGUUGUCUUAGUUCGUAUGCAUAUCUCAGUGCCUCACAUAUUGAUUCAGGGCGUCAUUACGCGUCUUAGCUCGGCCCACUCCCACCACUCUCCCUCUCUCUUCCUCCCUCUCCCUCUCCCCCCCUCUCUCUCUCUCUCUCGCUCUCUGCUUAAACCACCUCCGCCACCCUCUUCCAGUUCUCGCCAGCCUUGGCCCCUCGCACCCCCGUCCCCUUGUCCUCGGCCCUCCACCACCUUCUUCACCUCCAGCCACCAUCGUCCUUCUGUGGCUCUCCUUCGCCGACCCAACCACCCCAUCUACUCUGCACGAACCUUUACUACCCCCCAGCUGGAAGAAUCUUCUUGCAGACCGGUCCUUCCAUAUCCCUCUCUUCCUCUUCCUCCUCCUCCUCCUCCUCCUCCCCUUCCCAACCCGUCUUUCUAACUCAAGCGACACGCAAGUCUCGUCAUUCUUUCCCUUUCUAUCCCUCCCCCUCUCCCCAUAGUUUCGUGCUUAGAGCCGCGUGUGUGCUCGCGAGCGUGUUUGCUGGGGGACACGUGGGGCCGCGGCGCGUAUAUUCGCGUGUGUCGUCGUCUCUCGUUCGCAAACUCGCAUAAUCGAUACGAGAUUAAUUUUGAUCGCGGCGAAUGCUUUGUUUCUUAGCGACGAAGAAGUUGCCCCGAAGGCUCAUAUUUUCAUAGUUUCGUAGGCGCUUACAGCAUAGGAAUUUACUUCAUUUGUACAACAAACGUAACCGAUUACAUUACGGCGUCGGUGAUGCCAUCUGACGUGUGAACGAUUGAUUAUUAUGCGACGUUCGUUAGAUUUGCUGAUGCUGUGCAAUCGGUCAGCAAUUACGUGGGAUAGCGCGGGUCGCGUUUAUGCGCACUUUACACGCACGUAUACGUAGGUACGCAACGCAGGGAUCAAAAAGGCUCGUCGCGUAAGUGAAAGUCCACGUCGUCGUCCCUGCGGAGUGUGUAUCGAAACGAGUCUAAAAUGUUCGUCCGAUUGGUUUACGUUCGCGCGUUCGACAAAUGGGCUCACUGUCUCCAAUUGUUAAUAUGCAACCGUAGCGAGGCGAAUCUGUGUUGUGUCACUAUAUUAUACGUUCCACACCACACAUCAUGAUAGUUUAAUUGAACUAUCGGUCUUUUGUAAUCUAUGUUUUUGUUGACAUUUUUUGUUCGCAUUUUUUUAAAUUUAAAAUUUUGUUAAUGAUUUAAAAUUAUUGUUUUAUAAGAUUUUAUCAUAUUUUUCUUAUAAGAUAAUGGAUUUUUCUUAUAAAAAAUGGAUUUUUUACUCUCUUUGCAAAGUAACGUAUUUUUCAUUGUUUAUUGUUUGUCAGACCAACUAACAAAAAGUCAUUAGCAAGUAAUUGUAAUUUUUAAAGAGUUUUUGGGUUUAUAAAAUUUCUAAUAUAAAUAUUAUAAUAGUUUUUCAACACUUAAGAAUAUGAUUAUAUGAUUCGAAAUGUUUCUUACUUUUUUGGACAUGAAGUGAAAACAGAAUCAGCAAACUAAAAAGAAAGAAAACUAUUUGAAAUAAUCUUAGUUGAUCUGCAGAAAAUUAAAGUUGACCUCUAUUAACACAUUUUAUUUAGCUUUAUUUAAUACUAUGAGAAAACUAAGAAACGUAGUUAUGUAAAUAAUGCGUUAAAGGAUUAAUUGUAAUCAUGUGUAACCAUAUUAUAAUAUACAGUAUAAUAGAUCUCUUAUUAGCAUAAAAGCGCGAUAUUAGCAUAUCCUCAAUGUAAGUUAAAUCAAGUCUAGAUGAUAAAUUGUGCCAAUAAGAAUUGAGAACCAAUUGUAAUUGAGUUAUUUAAAAUAUAUUAAAUUUUUAUACUUUGCUUUAUAAAACAUUAAAAUAAAUGUCUUUUAAUCAUUAAUAAGUACUAUGACAUUAAACGAAUUUUUCUGCAAAGAUAUGCAAUUAUUUGAAAUGUUAACAAUUUUUAAACUUCUAAAAAAACUAUAAAAAAUUAAACAUUAUAAUCUGUAUAAUG
This is a long non-coding RNA of Monomorium pharaonis (pharaoh ant), 2341 nucleotides long. RefSeq lists it as uncharacterized. The record is from RefSeq and is a predicted model, not a curated record. The transcript has 3 exons. Lineage: Eukaryota; Metazoa; Arthropoda; Insecta; Hymenoptera; Formicidae.